RNAcentral lists this ribosomal RNA (492 nucleotides) under uncultured bacterium. RNAcentral's name for it is "partial 16S ribosomal RNA". It matches the Rfam family "Bacterial small subunit ribosomal RNA", at positions 29 to 507 of the family's 1533-position model. The record is from RNAcentral.
AGUGAUCGCUGGCGGUGGGCCUAACACAUGCAAGUCGAACGGCAGCACAAUAAGAUCUUGCUCUUACGGGUUGCGAUUGACGGACGGGUGAUUAAUACAGCGUAAUCUACUUUUUCGUGGGUGAUUACGUAGGGAAACUUACGCUAAUACCGCAUACUACCUACGGCUGAAAUCAGGAGAUCUUCGGACCUUGCGCGAUUUAAUGAGCCGAUGUCGGAUUAGCUAGUUGGCGGGGUAAAGGCCCACCAAGGCGACGAUCCGUAGCUGGUCUGAGAGGAUGCUCAGCCACACUGGAACUGCGCCACGGUCUCGAGUACUACGGGAGGGCGCAGUGGGGAGUAUUGGAGAAUGGGAGCAAGCCUGAUCCAGCACGACCGCGUGGGUGACGACGGAUUUCGGGUCGUACAGCCAUUCUGUCGGGACAGAAAAGACGCACGUUAAUACCUCGCUGUUCUGACGGCAACCAAAGAAUAAGCACCGGCUAACUUCGUG